This 428-nucleotide ribosomal RNA is filed under the name uncultured bacterium. RNAcentral describes it as "bacterial SSU rRNA". It matches the Rfam family "Bacterial small subunit ribosomal RNA", at positions 917 to 1345 of the family's 1533-position model. The record is from RNAcentral.
GGGCCCGCACAAGCGGUGGAGUAUGUGGUUUAAUUCGAUGCAACGCGAAGAACCUUACCAGGGUUUGACAUCCUGCGAAUCUCUUGGAAACGAGAGAGUGCCUUCGGGAACGCAGUGACAGGUGGUGCAUGGCUGUCGUCAGCUCGUGUCGUGAGAUGUUGGGUUAAGUCCUAUAACGAGCGCAACCCUUACCCUUAUUUGCCAGCGGUUAGGCCGGGAACUAUAAGGGGACUGCCGGUGAUAAACCGGAGGAAGGUGAGGACGACGUCAAGUCAUCAUGGCCCUUACGUGUAGGGCUACACACGUGCUACAAUGGGGAGUACAGAUAGACGCUAAAGCGCGAGCUGGUGCUAAUCUCAUAAAACUCUUCGUAGUCCGGAUUGCAGUCUGCAACUCGACUGCAUGAAGUCGGAAUCGCUAGUAAUCGC